Molecule: ribosomal RNA, 382 nt
Filed under: uncultured Bacillus sp.
Lineage: Bacteria; Bacillati; Bacillota; Bacilli; Caryophanales; Bacillaceae
Description: bacterial SSU rRNA
Rfam family: Bacterial small subunit ribosomal RNA
Source: RNAcentral
AGGGCUUCUCCUUCGGGAGCAGAGUGACAGGUGGUGCAUGGUUGUCGUCAGCUCGUGUCGUGAGAUGUUGGGUUAAGUCCCGCAACGAGCGCAACCCUUGAUCUUAGUUGCCAUCAUUAAGUUGGGCACUCUAAGGUGACUGCCGGUGACAAACCGGAGGAAGGUGGGGAUGACGUCAAAUCAUCAUGCCCCUUAUGACCUGGGCUACACACGUGCUACAAUGGACGGUACAAAGAGCUGCAAGACCGCGAGGUGGAGCUAAUCUCAUAAAACCGUUCUCAGUUCGGAUUGUAGGCUGCAACUCGCCUACAUGAAGCUGGAAUCGCUAGUAAUCGCGGAUCAGCAUGCCGCGGUGAAUACGUUCCCGGGCCUUGACACACCG